GUCCUGUAUUAUUAUGUUGUCAUUUUAAUGUUAUAUUUAACAAUGCCAUGAAAGUGCGAGGUUUGGCAUGCCACAAAACCAGGUUCAACCCACCAUUUUUUUCUUUAAAAAUGUCCUAUACCAAGUCAGGAAAAUGGCCAUUGUUAUAUCAUAGUUCGUUUCUGUGUGUGUAACAUUUUUACGUUGUGUUUCCGUUGUGUCGUUUGUUUUCUC
This 213-nucleotide long non-coding RNA is filed under the name Mytilus galloprovincialis (Mediterranean mussel). The record is from RNAcentral. Lineage: Eukaryota; Metazoa; Mollusca; Bivalvia; Mytilida; Mytilidae.